Molecule: long non-coding RNA, 1926 nt
Organism: Mytilus californianus (California mussel)
Lineage: Eukaryota; Metazoa; Mollusca; Bivalvia; Mytilida; Mytilidae
Exons: 2
Source: RefSeq, a predicted model, not a curated record
GUACAUCUCCUCCUUUGGAACAGGGUAUGUUUAUCUAGACAAAGGUGAGCCAGUACAUCUCCUCCUUUGGAACAGGGUAUAUAGAUAUAAGAUGUGGUAUGGGUGCCAAUGAGACAACUCUCCAUCCAAGUCACAAUUUGUAAAAGUAAACCAUUAUAGGUCAAAGUACGGUCUUCAACACGCAGCAUUGGCUCACACCGAACAGCAAGCUAUGAAGGGCCCCAAAAAUGACUAGUGUAAAACCAUUCAAACGGGAAAACCAACGGUCUAAUCUAUAUAAAAUAAAUGGAGAAUGUGUCCCCAACAUUAUAAAGGGACAUAACUCAAGAACUAUAAAAGUGACGCUACCCAAAUUUGUACUUGAUCUGAGUUUUAAGGUAAUAAGUAUUGUGUAUAGGUUUCAUAUUUAGUUGGGGCAACUUGUUAGAGAACAUAAACUAAAAAUUUUGCAAUUUUUCGAUUCAUAAAGGGGCAUAACUCGAUAAUGAUUAAAGUGACGCUACCAAAAUUCAACUUGAUCUGUGUUUUGUGGUAAAAUGCAUUGUGUAUAAGUUUCAUAACAUUUGGUUGAGGCAACUUGUUAGAGAACGGAAACUAAAAAUUUUGCAUUUUUUCCAUUUAUAAAGGGGCAUAACUCGAGAAUGGUUAAAGUGACCCCACCAAAAUUCAAACUUGAUCUUUACUUUGUGGUAAUAAGCCUUGUGUAUAUGUUUCAUAACAUUUGGUUGAGGCAAACUUAAGUUAUAGAACAGAAACUAAAAAUUUAUGCAAUUUUUCCAUUUAUAAAGGGGCAUAACUCUAGAACGGUUAAAGUGACGACACCAAAAUUCAAACUUGAUCUGUGUUUUGUGGUAAUAAGCUUUGUGUACAAGUUUCAUAACAUUUGGUUGAGGCAAUCUUAAGAAAGAAAACGGAAACUAAAAAUUUUGUAAUUUUUCCAUUUAUAAAGGGGCAUAACUCUAGAACGGUUAGAGUGACGCUUCCAAAAUUCAAUCUUGAUCUGUAUUUUGUGGUAAUAAGCAUUGUGUAUAAGUCAUAAAAUUUGGUUGAGGCAAACUCAAGUAAGAGAACAGAAAUUAAAAAUUUUGCAAUUUUUCCAUUUAUAAAGGGCAUAACUCUAGAAUGGUUAAAGUGACGACACCAAAAUUCAAACUUGAUCUGUGUUUUGUGGUAAUUAGCAUUGUGUAUAAGUUUCAUAACAUUUGGUUGAGGCAAACUCAAGUUAGAGAACGGAAACCAAUUUUGGGACGUACGCUACGGCGGGGGCAUAAAAACGAGAAACACUUAUGAACCACAUCAACAAGCGACAACUACUUAGGUCAGGUGCAAACAAAUGCAGCGGGUUUUAAUGUUUUAAUAUGUACCAACCUUCACCCUUAUCUGAAACAAUAGUGUAACAUCACAACAUAGAAACACACUAUAAAAUAUCAAUUGAAAUGCUUAACUCAAUCAAAAGACAUAUUAACACAAGUGAACAUACACUGAAUGAAUACAUUCGAUAUAUGUUUAUCUAGACAAGGGUAGGCCAGUACAUCCCCUCCUUUGGAAUAGGGUAUAUUUAUCUAGACAAGGGUGGGCCAUUACAUCCCCUCCUUUGGAAUAGGGUAUGUUUAAACAGUACAAUCUUUCCUUUAGUUAUUUCAUAGAUUUAUACCAGUUACUAGUGUUUAAUAAAUUGCUUCGCCGAGCGCAGCUGGAUACCACCGCAGAGGUCCAACCCUGAACAGUUGGGGCAAAAAUGGACGCAAUAUUCGCGCUUGAUACAGGUCUGAAUUUGGAUUGUAAUUAAAUAUUUGACACAUAAAAGGUUUCUGACACAGAAUAACUGUAGUCAAAGAACUUAGAAUUGGUUAUAUGAUUUGAAUUUAUAUUCAAUUUUUUGCUUUUGUGCAAUACACUGUGCCUGUGCGAAUUGACCCCCCCCCC